AAUAGAAACGAGCACAACGUUAUACGUAAGGUUGAAAGUGACUAGGAUAGUUGGUUUCAAAAACCUUGUGCAAAGUUCCUAGGACGGUUGCGUUUCUUUUUCUUUUUGUCACAUUCGUUCCACAGACUACAAUCUUCGAAGAAAGGGAAAGGACCUUAUAAGCCCCGCCAGACGUCUCGGUAUGCUUGUAAACAUGCAGUCGUUUGCUAUCUUGGUUAUUGGCAUCAUCUGGUGUUCGUGGUCAUCAGGGUUGACUCACGAUCAUAGCAACCUUGCACGCCACGCACCCACCGUUACACCAGGGCCGUGCCAAGAGCCAUUUGUGAACGUGUGUGAUACGUGUCCACUACGCACCGAAUGUGAUACGGAUUGCCUAAGUGUCGGUCCUCCUGCUAUACGCCCUUGUAUCCAGAGAAGAGGCUGCCUGUGUGAUAACAGCACAGGAUACAUCCUUGACAUCGGAAGAGACUGCGUCACGUACCAGGAGUGCAUGAAAAUAUUUGCCGAACACCACGUAGGGCGGUGAUUCGCAGCACAGGAUGGUCGUACGCUCUCAAGUACAUGGAUACUCGAGCAAUACUGAAAUAAAAAAGACUGAGCGCGUGGA
This is a long non-coding RNA of Ornithodoros turicata, 607 nucleotides long. RefSeq lists it as uncharacterized. Lineage: Eukaryota; Metazoa; Arthropoda; Arachnida; Ixodida; Argasidae. The transcript has 4 exons. The record is from RefSeq and is a predicted model, not a curated record.